ACCACCAGCUCAUGGGCCCACCUCUUUUAAUGGGCCUCACGUCCUCUCACUAGGCCCAUGAGCCCAUCAAUAUCCAACAGUCGGUUUGCUACGUCUGGGAGGGUUAUAUACUUGUUUACCGACCCUACAAAUCACCAUGUGAUUUUGCCUCACUCACACAGUUCCGACAAUCAUUUCCUGGAAGGUCACCCAUCCUUUGACUACUCCAGCAUAAGCACGCUUAACUGUGGAGCUCUCUCAGGACCUUUGACCGAAAAAGAUAAGUGCACUUUGGAG
RNAcentral lists this long non-coding RNA (276 nucleotides) under Capsella rubella. RNAcentral's name for it is "long non-coding RNA (CRUB_LNC003008)". Lineage: Eukaryota; Viridiplantae; Streptophyta; Magnoliopsida; Brassicales; Brassicaceae. The record is from RNAcentral.